UCUGUGCUUAUUUUAAUUUUCUUUCCAAGUGCACGCAAAGACCACGUGGUGUCAUAGAAAGAGAGGACGUCAGUGCUAAAAGGAACCUAGAACCACAGAAUGUUGAAUAUUGGAGCUCUAACAGAACAUGGAAGAUAGAAGAGAGAACAUCGCAGAGGGGAUUGGCUCUUCCCAUGAGCUGAAGGAGAGCCUUCUACAAAAAGUAGCCCCUGGAGAACGGCAGAGCUGGAAGGGAUCUCAGAAGCAGCCAUGGAGCAAUGGGCCGUGUCAGAGGACUAUGAAUUCCAACCUAAACUCAACCCUUUACUCCCUGAGGGAUUCUGGAGAGAGAGCAUGAGGUUCAGAUUACAGAUGCGUGCCAAAAAAGCAGCCAGGAUGAUCCCAAGAUCCCGAUUCUAUCGAUAUCAUGGACAUAGUCAAUUGGGCACUGGAUUUACAGUCAGGAAAAUCAAGGUUUGAAUCCCACUUUAUACACUUAGUAGCUACAAGACUGUGGGUGAAUCAUUUAACCUCUCUCAUGGCCCUUUUCAUCACUGUAGAAAGAAACUGUGGAACAUAAAGGGAAAUUUUAUGUUAGUCUAUCAUAAGAAAGGAUGAAAAAGAUAAUCCUGGGUCAUAAAAACUGUCUCCAAGUGAAGGGAGCAGAAACAGAAGAAUUUCUACAGGGAGAGCCGCCUCAGAACAACAAACAGCUCUGGAAGACUUGAGAAUUGUGAUCAAAGCAAUGAACACUAUUUUUUUUUUUAUUUUAUUUUAAAAGAAUUUUAUUUUGAAGUUGUUUUUUAAAUUUUUUUAUUAAAG
Sarcophilus harrisii (Tasmanian devil) is the source of this 801-nucleotide long non-coding RNA. RefSeq lists it as uncharacterized. NCBI's taxonomy places the organism in Eukaryota, Metazoa, Chordata, Mammalia, Dasyuromorphia, Dasyuridae. The transcript has 3 exons. The record is from RefSeq and is a predicted model, not a curated record.